Molecule: transfer RNA, 73 nt
Filed under: Cyphomyrmex costatus
Lineage: Eukaryota; Metazoa; Arthropoda; Insecta; Hymenoptera; Formicidae
Rfam family: tRNA
About the family: Transfer RNA (tRNA) molecules are approximately 80 nucleotides in length.
Source: Rfam by way of RNAcentral
GCCUCUUCGACUCAUAGUGGUAUAUAUUGAUCUUGUAAAUCAAGGAUUGUGAGUUCAAUCCUCAUAAGAAGCA